This 9492-nucleotide long non-coding RNA is filed under the name Drosophila guanche. The record is from RNAcentral. Lineage: Eukaryota; Metazoa; Arthropoda; Insecta; Diptera; Drosophilidae.
GUCAAAACGGAUCGCUGAUCGUUGCGCGAUCGGCGGGAGAGUUGAGAAACAACCUCAGUUGUGGACAUUCGUUGCGCGGUGAGGGUUGCGUUUGGGUUUGCGUUUCGAAAAAAUAUCUCAAGCCAAGAAAAAUCGGAGAAAAUACGAGAACGAGUCUGUGUCGGGCAUGUGUCCGUGCAACCCCCCAAGAUCUUCCCCCACUCCCAUUCAGCUGGUCAUCUGGCCAUCGACUUCACCCCUAAUCGAAUUGAACUUUGUCUCAGCGCUAAUCAAGAUGACCAGGAGAACGUGAUCUUGCAACAUCUGACCCAAGAAGCAGAAUCAAGACGGGCAUCAACCCCUCAAGAUGGGCAAACGGGUUCCGCGAGGGUCCUUGAGACACACUCUACGACCUGACCUGACCAUUGGUCAGUGGCAACGCACUUUCGACUCGUCUGGACAGAAGGCCAAAUGGCAGAACCCCAAUUAGGCUUUUCAUUAGCGGCGGAAAAGUCGGCGACGGAAAAUUCAAAUGAUUGAUCACUUUUCUCCUUGAAGGACAACUGGCAAAUGCUCUCCAAAUCAACGCUAAAAUUAAUCAUGUUUGUCCGUCAAAAUCAACCUCGAAAAACAGUAACAAACGAGGGGAAAACCAUUCACAGGAGGAAAACUGCUGAGAGGUGGAGAGAGUGAGGUAAAGUGGAGUGGAGUGGAGUGGAGUGGAGUGGAGUGGAGGGGAGGUCGAAACGUAUCGAGUUUCAGACGCAUAAGCCAUGAGGCAUGCCCACACCCGGACACACCGUCUCAAUGGAUUGCUGUCAAUGUUGUUAUUGCUUUUUUAUAAGCCAUAAAAAAGCAUUAAAAUUGCACAAUUUUCCACGCUGCCCAUUUGGCAGAUGGGGCAGGGCCACGGCCACGGCCAGGACAGCCUGUCCGUCCAGUUCUCAAUUCCCGGCGGGAGGUUGGUCCCAAAACUUUUCUGGGCCAUAACUCUCGCAAAUAAUUGACAGAUCGCAAUUAGAAAUCGAUGCAAAAAGCCCAAUGGCCAAUGGUAAAAAGUAUCGAAUUUCAUUCGCGCCUUCCACUUUCGCGACGAGUGCUCCAGAGGACUCUGGACAGCUCUCGGUGGGCAAAGAGUUAUAUGGCAGAUGGAUUUGGGAUGGUGGGGAAACCGCUGGGUCAUCUGACCUAGUAUAUUUCGGGGGGAGUGUCAAUAACCCUAAAACUUAAACUCCACACUGAGCUGAGUGGUACGAUGUUGAUUGAAUGUGAGAAACAGAACUUCAAAAUGUUAAAUAUAAUUUUAAACUAUUACUUGAAUAAAUAUUUUUGAUUAUAACCGAUAGGAAAUCAGAGCUAGAGCCAGUAGAGUUUUUCUACUCUUACGAUUUAAUCAUAAUCAUAACUUGGCUUUCCGUGAAAAGGUUCAUCAUUUCAGUACCUACUUAACCAAAGACACUAAAAUACAUGCCAGAAUUAGUAGAGUUAGCCAGAGUUAAUAAUAAACAAAAUACUACAAAAACUAAUAUCGAUUAACAGGUUCUGUGUGAUCUAUAUUCCUCAGAGUCAAUGCCUUAUUCUACAUAUUGAAAUUCCCCCGAAAAACUCUGAUGUGUAUCGCGUUUCAAUGAGUCUCCAAAUGAGCCCAAUAUCCCCAUUAACCGGUUUUGGUCGAGGGCAUUCAAUGGUCGGCCCGCCCAUCCCAGCAUAUCUCCCCCCAUAUGGCGAAAUGAACCCAAAUUGGGAAAUGGACGAUGGGGCAGGGACAGCUAUUCAAAUAAGUGAAUGAUGGGAAUGGAAGGCCGAGUCGGUGGUGGGGAUCUAGAGGAUUGGUCGCCGUCGGUCCGACAUGUGACAUCAAAAGGCAAAAAGAAGGAAAGAGAAAAAAGAAAAUGCUUGUUGCCGCAAAAAGCUUUAACAGUUGCCAUAAAAUAUCCCAUCUUCGACGGCCGCUACCCACACCCCCAGAACACACACACACACAAGCACAGUGACAGAACAACCCUCUCCUCCCCACGAAGGACAUGGACAUUUGGAUACUGCGAGUGUGUUUGUGGUAGUGUUUGUGUGCUUGUUUGCUUAACCCUCGUCCGAAGCAACCGUCCGAAGUGACCGGCCGAAUCGUAAAAAUGUAAGACGAAAACGAGCUCAAGAAUAAAAACACAUUAGAUACAAGCAAAUAUCCUUUCCGCAAAGUCGCAUGUCCUUUACACACACACAAAUAUGAACGUGUGUGUGUGUGUGUGUGUAUACAAAUUUAUCUCCAUUUGACCCUCUUCAAAGUGCUUUUUAUAGUCAUUUAGUGUUUUGGCCCUCCCGUCAAGUACUUUUAUUAUACACGUAUAAAUCCAAUUCGGCAUUCGGCGGAGCCGCAAGCCGGCUCCAAGGAUCCUUCUCCCAUGUGUGAGUGGAUCCCUUUGCACAUGUGUGCGCGAAGCUCCCAUCGAGGCCAGCUGGCUGGGAGUAAAAGGUAAACGUGUACGUACCAAAGCGAGAGUCCAACUAAUGAAACGGAACCAAGGCAAACCCUGGGACCCUCACUCGCUCGCUCUCUGCUCUCUAUCUUGUUGUGUCCCUUGACUCCUUGGACCGUGGCACCCAAAAGGACCACAAAACACAUGCAUACACAAUGUACCACCCACCCAGCGCCCCUCCAUCCAAACAAAAAAAAAAACAACAACAACAACGCCAACAAUUUGGUUGUCAAAACUACACCCGAAAAAGGCAAGCCGCACGAAUACUCGUACUGGUUCUCAUGCAACACUGGAAAAAAUAUAGCCAUGAUUACGAUGAGUUGAUGGAUAUGCAAAGAAGAAGGCAAUAUUGUAGUUUGAAUGCGCAGCAGGCACUGUCUUUAGUUUCUUUGAGAAUUGAGUCCCACAAUUCUGAAGUUUUCUUUUUAGAUUUCUUGCAUCUUUUGUUCUGGGCUGAGAGAAAUAACUGCUAAAUUUUAGAUUAUAGAUCUUUCAUUUAUGUUUGUGCAAAUGUGCAAAAAUCAGACAAAAGAUUUGCUUUAUUUUUCUCGGUGCAUGCAAAACAGAUGCCAAGGCCACCAACCCCACUGCCGGUGCUCCUCUAUGAGUGUGUGUGUGUGUGUGUGUGUGUGUGUGGGUGUGUGUGUGGCAGAGUCCUUUUUAAAAUUUUAAGACAUGUAAAUAUAAAAGGUCCUGCAUCGUCCUGUACUGUGCCAGGGCUAUCCCCCGUCCUGUCCUGUCCUGUCCUGUCCUCUGUCCCCAUCCUUUCGGUUCACAGUUUGGCAGUUCCACCCCCCAAAAAGGGAAGGUCCAGGGGCCCAUCGUCCGUUCUUUUGCAUCUGAAUAUGUAUCACCCUGACUCGAUCUAAAUACAUAUACACACAUAUAGAGUACGUGUGUGGGUGAGUUUAUGGCCUUGUAUGUUGCCAAUGUUAUGGGAUUGGGGCUGGACUUGGGCUCGGGCUUCGGUACUGGGCAUGGGGGUCCAGGGUACAGCACUGGGAACUGGGGGAUUGGGGGAUUGGGGGACUGGGCUCUGGUGGAUAUAUCUACGUUCAUUUAUUCGUUUGCUUGUCGGUUGGUUUGUUUGUGUGCGUAUCCUGUCCUGUCCUGCCCUGCCCUGUCCGGCCCCUCAUCUCAUACAAUUUUCCCGUUCCAAUAUCACCGCCAUGGGGAGGCUGGCAAAAAAAAGGGGGAAAAAUAUCUGCAAAUGUUGUUUUCCUUUGGGUUAUUAUUUUACUUUUUUUUUGUAAUUUUUUUUGUAUUUUUGUUUUUUGUAUUUUUAUUUUUUUUGUUUUAUGUUUUGCUGUUUAUUUGCGCCCCUCCCCUGCCGUCACAUUUUUCUUCAUGUCUCCUUAUAUUUCUGGAACUUUCCAUAUCUUUAUUUAUAUGUCUUCAGCUAUAAGCUGUGUCUCGCUCUAUCUCUACAUUUGUCAGUAGCAUUUUGCUUUCUAUUUUUUGAAAACUUUUCUGGACAUUGGUCCUUCCAUAAGUAAAUCCGCCUGCAAAUGGAGACCAGUUGUAUUCAAACUGUGUUCGGAAUCAAGCACCGGAACACACAAAUAUUUACAGCAAGUGCUCUGCUAAAUUUGUAGAUACUUACACAACAUUUUACUCCAUUUAUUACACUGUGCGACAAACGGCAACUUUUUGAAUGUACUUUGCCCGAGACAAAAACUAACCCAAAAAUUGUUGUUGUACGUUUCAAAGUUUUAUAACUUGUACUCAAAUAAGUAUUAUAGAAAAAUAAAUAAAGCAACUAAAUGAAGGGCCAGUUGAAUGGUAACAUAUUAUAUUGGUCAAGCAAGAGACACAUCAGUUCCGUUUCCUUUUAAAAAAACUCGAGAGAACUCUGAGAGCUCAUUACCCGAAAAUCAGAACCAAUUAGGAGCUUUGCAAGAGGAGCUUCAUAUUUUUAAAUAAAAUAAUUAUAAAUUUACCAAAAACUCGUGUGUGGAGCGGUGUUUAUUGUUUAUUCCAGCAGAAGCUAGUUCUUAGCCAUUAUAAUUAUAAACAAUGAAAAAUCACUUUCAACUAUUCCAUGCAGAUUCCACGUAGUUGGCCCUUAGAUUCCCUGAUUUCUUGGCAGCAAUCCCUAAGCAACGACUUGUGCAUUAUUGGAUCAUCUUAAGGCAAGCCCCAAGUAUUGGCAUUGCCUGCCACACACGCCUCACUCCCCCAGGCCAACACCUCACACCCACAGGAAGAGAGUGAGAGAGAGAGAGAAAAAAAAACGGAAGGGAGAACCCUUUAAAAAACAAUACACGAGCUGUAACGGGGCCAUUAAUUUCCCAAUUUACAGUCUAUUCGCAAGCCGUUGCCAAAAUUGUUUAAGGUUUUAAAACCCACACACAGAGAGGCGAGAGAUACUGAUAGAUGUGGGUGCAGGAAUGGGGUGGGAGAGCUGAGAAUGAGAAUGAGCUGGUCCUGAGGAUAAGACAGUGGGCGAAGUCCCACACCCAAUUUGGAGGGUGCGAGUGUGAGUGUGGGCCAGUGGCCAUAUGUCCAUUUUGGAGAAUAAGAAUUUCAAACGAGGUGUAUCUGUAAGUGUGUGUGUGUGUGUGUGUGUGUGUGUGUUUGUGUGUGUGUGUGUGUGUGUGCGUGGGUUGUCUUCAAGGGCCGCCUGUGAAUGGGGUGGUAAAUGCUGCCCAAGGGACUUGUAGCUGGGAUACCAACAAAGUUUUUCCAAAAAAUAAACGAAACGAAACGAAACGAAACGAAAAGAAAAAAGAUGGUCCAAGGAGCAGAGAACACCACCGCAGAGCAGCGCAUACAAAAAACAUAAAACAAAAACAACAGGCGAGUCCUGUGGCCGUUUCGGCCAGGACAACCCAUUCAAAAGCGCUGCAGACCAAAAAAGGACGCCAAAGGAUGCGGCAGAAGGUGCAGAGUGACUGAAGGGCGAACCGGGCACUGGGCUGAAACGCAAAAAGAAACGCCACCACAUGGUUUUAUUAUAUUGUGAAUGUGAUUACCUUAAGGAUAUGCAAUAAGCACACACACACAGAGAGAGAGGGAGAAAGCUGAAGAUGUAGCUGGGAAUGAUGUGUGGAGAUAACUCCCGAGCUGUCGGAUGGAGGAGGAGGAGGAGCAACCCAUUUCGAGGCUGGACAGACGACGACCCAUCGCCCAACGCCCAUGCCGCUCUUUUAUUUCCAUUGCAUGCCCAGCAGUCAGUCGUAAAAGGCAGCCCCAGAACCAGUCCCAGUCCCAGUCUCAGUCUCAGUCCCUGCCCCUGCCCCGAUGAAGGGGACUGAAGGAUGAAAAGCCACAGCCACAAAGAUGCACGAGAUACGAGUGCAGAAAAAGCAUCUCACAGAUACAGAUACCGCCGCUGAGCGGUGCGCUGCAUGAGCAUUUUCAAUUAGUGAGCACAUCGCAGAGGCCGUCCGAGAGAAGUCUCAAGAAUUCACAAGAAGAUUAUCAUGCACAGUGGAUUAGGCAGCACAUCAAGGAUUGUACUUGUGCACUCUGGUUUCGAUUUAAGCAACGUAAAAUACGAAUAAUAGACAAGGAACAGGCAAACAUUAGACAGCUAAGAGAACAGCUUUUAUUUCAAAUUAAAUUCAUUAAAGUUGUGAGUCAAUAAAUUCAUAUAAAGCAUAAAGUCUGGACUAAUGUUUGAAUGGAAUUGAGAUGCAUAAACUUAAUUUCAAGACUGAUUCCUUGCAGACAAACUUAACGAAUGUUUAUGCAGAAAUUCAUGGGAGAACUAUCCACAAAUUGAGUAACUGAAACAACGCCUCAAAUAUACUCAAAUAUUAUAGAAAAUGCGCAUAUAAGAGAUUAUCCAUUGAUCUCUGAUCAAUCUCUGCAGUACUCAGUAGUGCUACUCAAAGUUCACUCUAACAUUCAUUUCCCCCCUUCAAAACUAUACGAAAAGCCCUCGCACGCUGCGAGUCAUGUGCCUGCAAUGAGUUGCAGUUGAAGGAAAAUAUAGAAAGCAACAAAAAAGAAAGCAGGGAAAAGGAAAAAAAAAAAGAGACAGAAGAAACGAAGAUAUAAGAGAAAUAUGCAGAUGUCAUGUGGACCAUGUGCAGCACGUAGCAUCGGGUGAGGUGGACCACCUUGGUGGGUGCCGUAUCCUUUCUGCACGUUCAUGCUGAGUGUCUGUCUCUCCUGCCUGUCUGUGUGUGCCUGUGCGAAUCGAAUCCUGUGCUGUCCAAUGCGACUAAAAGGGUAAAAACCAAAAAUCGAGGAUAAGAACGGAUAAUCUUAUGUCGCAACUGAAGUUCCACUCACCUCCCAUUCACUCACUCACUCACGGGUCCAAUGAGCCGUCGAGUCAUCCCAAAAACACACACACUCACGCGAAUCGGUCGGUGGUCGAGCGGGGUGGUGAGAGGAGGGGAGGGGAGAUAUAGAGAAAGAGUUGAAGGCCUAUAAAUAACUGCAAAUAAAUCAAAAUCUAUCAAUGCGAACAAUUCGAUGUUACAAUUGACUUCACCGAUCAAAGCCGUUCCUCCUCCUCUGCUGCUGCUGCUGCUGCUGCUGCUGUUGCAUUUCAUUCUCCUCCUCCUGCUCCUGCUCCUUUUUGUAGCAGCUUUCCAGCUUUUUUCCCUGUCAUACCUUUUUGUGUGGAGUGCGCGACCAGAAAGUAUCCUUUGUGUCAAUAUUAUUAGCAGCAGCAGAAGCAAGCAAUCGAAUGGAUAAUGGCCGAAAGGGUGACACACGGACAUGGGAUAUCAUCCACACAUCCACAUGGCAUGGCAUGGGCACAGCCACCACUCUUCGUGCCUUUUGGGUGAGUGUGCGAAAUUUUACAGUAAUUUAAAAAGAAAAAAAAACUGUUUCACCAAUUUAAUCAAUAUUACACAACCCAUUCACACACACACACAGCCAGACAGACAGGCAGAGAGAGAGAGAGAGAGAUGGAUAGACACCGGGCGUAUCUGAUAUCGAUGCGCUCCUAAUGGACAGGAGUCGCCUCUGAAGCGGCGCGCUCUAAUUUUAUUUAUGAUCUAAUGUGUUGCCAAUGAUGGAAACGCACAACCUGAACAGAUAGUGUCAGAGAGGGGAUGGUGAGGACAGAUAUGGAUAGUUAUAGGUGGCCGCAGGGAUGCAGCGUGCAGUGUGAAAGGGCAUGUAUCUGCGGAUUGAUAUCCCGUUGUCCGCCUCACACACAACACACAAUGCAACAACGAAAAAACAGUCACUGAAAUUAUUGCUAGUGCUCUCAUCAUAUUUAUGCGCUCUAUUUGCCAUUUGGCCUGUGUGUGUCUAGUCUGUGUCCUGUGUGCGUGUCCUUUGUACCUUCUGCUGCCAGUGGGCGAUGGGCAAUUUUCUAAAACAAUUUCUGUCAUUUUGUUGAUACAAUUCACCGCAAUACAAACGAAACAGAAUCAACAGGGGGCCAGAGCACUGCAAAUUGGACUGGGUUAAAGGCAGAGAACUGCAUUGAGGGAGAGACCCUCGAGCGAAAAUCCUCAUUGCAAUCCGUUGGAGAUCGCAGAUUAACAGACAAAAACUUGACCGCCAUCAUUUGACCGCUUGUUUUGCCAGUAAAAAUCCUGUGAAUCGGACUCAUAAUCGUACUCAUAUCUCUGAAUCUGAAAUUAAUAAAUUCAAUUUCGAUUCCGAUUGAUGUACAUCCCACUCACUCUCACUCACUGAAUACAAUCAAUUGAAAGUGAAUAACAUUCACAGAUGAAUCAACUCAUGUGGCACCCGUUUGGCUGGCCAGACAUUCCGCAAAAAUCAUUUGAGCUCCCUGCCUGCCAGCACCUUCUACUCGUACAGCCGGGCAUAUCCUUAAUCAGGAAAGCCACAUGACAGGGAUAGGGCUGGCCCGGAGCCCGGAGCCCGGAGCCCGGAGCCACGAACCCUAAACUGAAAAGAAGGGCAACCCGAAAGGGGCCCCCAAGGGCCGUUUUGCACUAAUUAAUAACAGUAAAUUCUCUCCACCACCAAGAGACAAGAGACAUAGAAGACAGCAAGAACGGCGGAAAGAGCUGUCUCAAAGCAAUCCUUUGCCCCUGUCCCUGCCAUGCCGCUUCGUGUCCUUUCAAUUUGAGGAAAGUUUCGAGUGGAAAUCUGUUGGGUUACCGUACUGCAGAAGAGCAGGAGGGACAUGGGAGGUGGAGUUGGGCGGUUGGGCGGUUGACAGUAAAAAAUGUUGCAUAGUUUUUCUGCGUCUUAACGAGUGUCAACCACCCAAGUCAAGACUCAGGACUCACGUGGCCAGCUGCCACACACACACACGUACACCUAGAAUGUCCUGCUGCGAGGAUGUCUGCGCAUGUGUGUGUGUGCGAGUGUGAGUGUCCACUGGUCGUAUCCCUUUUAGCUAAAUUGGCAAAAUUUCUAUUCUAUUCCAGUCCAUUCAACGAUGACCCAACCACCCCCAAUCCACCCACCCAUGACACACACACACACACACAGACAGUCAGACACACUUAUUCACAACUAUUCUUGUUGGGAUAUUCAAAUGCGAAACGUUGCUAAUUCAUAUUCAAAUGAAUGCAAAAUAAACCCCAAUCACAAUUAUUAUGAGACAUGUUAAAUGGACCAAAAGUCCUGACAGCCAACAACAAUUCACACACACAGUUGGAGGCGCAUUCCAGACACACACUCACAGACAGGCCAGGCAGAGACUCACAUGAGACUCACAAUGCAGGAUGCGCAUGUCCUGUAGUCAGCAUUUUGUCGGACCAACGAGUGGACAUGUGUGAAGGCGGGUUGGCGGUGGCGCCACAAGAUAUCUCCGUGGAGGCAGUCCCUGUGCCACGUCGCCAGGUCAACAAAAGAGAGAAACUCGGGAAUUGUUCGUAUUUCAACUGUGCAUAAGGAUGGGUGCGGGUAGGGGGAUAUUCUGCCCAUUUGCAUUCUGAACUCCACGGGUGGGAGCUCUGCCAGCCAGAGAGUAUCGUUUCGUUUUGGCAUCUGAGAUUCCAAUGCAGUCAUAGAUGUAUGCAGAUACCCUGAAUAAUUCAUGGCUCCAUUUGCACAUCCUUUGUGCUGGCCAAUCAAGGUAAUGAGUGCAGUUUUAAAUACCUCAAAAUACUCACAUGAAAUGGGUUAAUGGAGCGGCAAUUUAGUA